This is a long non-coding RNA of Rosa chinensis, 512 nucleotides long. RefSeq lists it as uncharacterized. The record is from RefSeq and is a predicted model, not a curated record. NCBI's taxonomy places the organism in Eukaryota, Viridiplantae, Streptophyta, Magnoliopsida, Rosales, Rosaceae. The transcript is spliced from 3 exons.
CGCUGACGGUGCUCUCGAGCCGUCUAUCAAACUCGACUCGGGGCUGGAUUAUUACAUAGAUGUUGAUUAUCAAGUGGGUGAUGGCUUCUCUUUCAGUGGAGGUGCCUAUUCUCUUUUCCACUACCUCUUUUAUUUGCUAAAUGGCCUUUCCAAGUUUUUCAGUACUAGUAACUGAGGAAGUUUUUGACAUGAAAGUAUUCAAAUGGACCAAGCCCUUCUGAUGAAUGGUUCAAGCAGGGGAAGAUAGUGCUUAUAUUUCUCUUGGUUCUGGUGAGAAGGUCCAAUCUUGGACUUGCAAUGGGUGCUGAUUCUCAGGCAGCUGCUGAUGUUUUUAGGUAAAUUUGUACAUUUAGCUUUAGAGGACUAGCGGCUGGCAUGUUUGAAACAGUGUGGUUUAUACUUUUAUAGUAUAUGAGUCACGCAGACAAUGAGUGUGGAAUUUGCAGGGUUUACCAAUUGUCUCACUCUACAAUAAUUUCACUUUUAAGAGAGUUAUUGAAGUUGUUAUUUUG